AUAUACGUCAGGGAGCACAUUGCACAAUUUUUAAAGAAAAGGGGGACCACAUUUAACAUUUUUAAACCAUUGGGGGGACUAAAAUGAACUUUUUUACACGAACCUAGAUUGUUCAUUUUAAUUACAGUAGAAACUGAUAAUCAUCCUCUACAUGAAGAACACAUAAAAUUUUCAAAAUUCUCAAAACAUUCCUUGUAGUUAUGGCAACUUUCGUUACAACAAUGUGAGGAAUGUGAAAAUCCUUUGCCCCAUGUCUUCAAACAAGAAGAACAACU
Molecule: long non-coding RNA, 275 nt
Filed under: Vigna radiata
Lineage: Eukaryota; Viridiplantae; Streptophyta; Magnoliopsida; Fabales; Fabaceae
Description: long non-coding RNA (VRAD_LNC003301)
Source: RNAcentral